CUUUUUUUACAAAACAUCGCCUCUUGAUAGUACAUAAGAGGUCUCGCCUGCCCAGUGACAGGAUUCAACGGCCGCGGUACCCUAACCGUGCAAAGGUAGCACAAUCACUUGUUCUCUAAUUAAGGACUAGAAUCAACGGCACCACGAGGGUCUCACUGUCUCCUUUUUCCAAUCAGUGAAACUGAUCUUCCCGUGAAAAAGCGGGAAUAGCCCUAUAAGACGAGAAGACCCCAUGGAGCUUCAAACUCAUCAGUUACCCUACGCAAAUUACACGAUAAUCUAGGGAAAUAUCUGUUGGUUUUGGGUUGGGGCGACCACGGAGUAUAAAAUAACCUCCACAAUGAAAAGAAUAAUAUCCUUAUCUAAGAGUCACUCCUCUAAGAAUUAAUAAAUUAACAUAUAAUGUUCCGAUACUUUGUAUUCGAUCAAUGAACCAAGUUACCCUGGGGAUAACAGCGCCAUCCACUUCAAGAGUUCAUAUCGACAAGUGGGUUUACGACCUCGAUGUUGGAUCAGGGUAUCCCAGUGGUGCAGCCGCUACUAAAGGUUCGUUUGUUCAACGAUUAAAACCCUACGUGAUCUAGUUCCAAA
Molecule: ribosomal RNA, 591 nt
Filed under: Ptychadena bibroni (broad-banded grass frog)
Lineage: Eukaryota; Metazoa; Chordata; Amphibia; Anura; Ptychadenidae
Description: partial large subunit ribosomal RNA
Rfam family: Bacterial large subunit ribosomal RNA
Source: RNAcentral